GACCCGACCGCUAUCGGGGUAGGGCUAAGCCAUGCGAGUCGCNCGCCCGGGGGCGCCCGGGAGCGGCGCACGGCUCAGUAACACGUGCCCAACCUACCCUCGGGAGGGGGACACCCCCGGGAAACUGGGGCCAAUCCCCCAUAGGGGAGGGGCGCUGGAAGGCCCCCUCCCCCAAAGGGAUGGCGGCCGAUCCGCCGCCAUCCGCCCGAGGAUGGGGGCACGGCCCAUCAGGUAGUUGGCGGGUUAAAGGCCCGCCAAGCCGAAGACGGGUAGGGGCGGUGAGAGCCGCGAGCCCCGAGAUCGGCACUGAGACAAGGGCCGAGGCCUACGGGGUGCAGCAGGCGCGAAUACUCCGCAAUGCGGGCAACCGCGACGGGGCUACCCCGAGUGCCGGGCGAAGAGCCCGGCUUUUGCCCGGUCUAAAAAGCCGGGAGAAUAAGCGGGGGGCAAGUCUGGUGUCAGCCGCCGCGGUAAUACCAGCUCCGCGAGUGGUCGGGGUGUUUACUGGGCUUAAAGCGCCCGUAGCCGGCCCGGCAAGUCGCUCCUGAAAUCCCAGGGCCCAACCCUGGGGCGGGGGGCGAUACUGCCGGGCUAGGGGGCGGGAGAGGCCGCCGGUACUCCGGGGGUAGGGGCGAAAUCCGUUAAUCCCCGGAGGACCACCAGUGGCGAAAGCGGGCGGCCAGAACGCGCCCGACGGUGAGGGGCGAAAGCCGGGGGAGCAAAGGGGAUUAGAUACCCCUGUAGUCCCGGCCGUAAACGAUGCGGGCUAGCUGUCGGCCGGGCUUAGGGCCCGGCCGGUGGCGAAGGGAAACCGUUAAGCCCGCCGCCUGGGGAGUACGGCCGCAAGGCUGAAACUUAAAGGAAUUGGCGGGGGGGCACCACAAGGGGUGAAGCUUGCGGCUUAAUUGGAGUCAACGCCGGAAACCUCACCCGGGGCGACAGCAGGAUGAAGGCCAGGCUAACGACCUUGCCGGACGAGCUGAGAGGAGGUGCAUGGCCGUCGUCAGCUCGUGCCGUGAGGUGUCCGGUUAAGUCCGGCAACGAGCGAGACCCCCACCCCUAGUUGCUACCCCGUCCUACGGGACGGGGGGCACACUAGGGGGACUGCCGGCGUAAGCCGGAGGAAGGAGGGGGCCACGGCAGGUCAGUAUAGGGACCAUGGGGAAACGCCCAGGUCCCGCUGAAGCCCCGAAAGCCGUGGCCCCAACGGGUAAAUUAACCCCAUCUACAAAAGACAUGGACUGGCGGCUCUACCUAUGUGGUCUCAUAGCUGCAGAUGGCCACCUCGACUGUAGAGGAGAAAUCACAUUGGCACAGAAGAGGAGAGACUUCAUAGAUACAAUCGCAACGAUAAUGAAGACAAACGGCAUAGAUAUAGCGAGCAUUUUCUACGAUAGAAAAGCGGGUGUGUGGAAGCUCAAAACAAGAGACAAAGAUUUCUACAGGUACCUAAUAAACAACGGGCUAAAGUGCGGAAGAAAAAGCUCGGAGAUCAACCCACCCGCCGUUGAACCAACGGCGGGACUCCCAUACGUCAUAGGCUUCAUCGAUGGAGACGGGUGGGUUGAACAAAUUACAAAAAAGUACAGAAGCCGAACAUACACCUAUCUGAGAGUAGGCCUAAAGACGAAAAGUAAAGCGCUAAGGGACUGGAUCGCAGAGGUGCUCAAGGCCAACGGCAUAAGAGCCAACACCGCGGACAAAAAAGACGGAUACGAAAUCCACAUAGAUACGAUAGAGGCGUGGACAGUAGCCAAAAUGUUGCUCAACCCUACCCACCACGAAAGACUAAAACAAAUCCGGGACUCCAGACUCUAACUCAUCUUUCUCCCAACCCGUUGGGGCACGGCCGGGAGACCCCGGGGCUGCACGCGAGCUGCAAUGGCGGGGACAGCGGGAUCCGACCCCGAAAGGGGGAGGCAAUCCCGUAAACCCCGCCCCAGUAGGGAUCGAGGGCUGCAACUCGCCCUCGUGAACGUGGAAUCCCUAGUAACCGCGUGUCACCAACGCGCGGUGAAUACGUCCCUGCCCCUUGCACACACCGCCCGUCGCACCACCCGAGGGAGCCCUCUGCGAGGCCCCUUGCCGACGAGGUGGGGGGACGAGCAGGGGGCUCCCAAGGGGGGUGAA
This 2130-nucleotide ribosomal RNA is filed under the name Pyrobaculum neutrophilum V24Sta. Its description in RNAcentral is "16S ribosomal RNA". It matches the Rfam family "Archaeal small subunit ribosomal RNA". Lineage: Archaea; Thermoproteati; Thermoproteota; Thermoprotei; Thermoproteales; Thermoproteaceae. The record is from RNAcentral.